Molecule: ribosomal RNA, 466 nt
Filed under: uncultured bacterium
Lineage: Bacteria
Description: partial 16S ribosomal RNA
Rfam family: Bacterial small subunit ribosomal RNA
Source: RNAcentral
GAUGAACGCUGGCGGCGUGCUUAACACAUGCAAGUCGAACGAUGAAGCCCAGCUUGCUGGGUGGAUUAGUGGCGAACGGGUGAGUAACACGUGAGUAACCUGCCCUUAACUCUGGGAUAAGCCUGGGAAACUGGGUCUAAUACCGGAUAGGAGCGCCUACCGCAUGGUGGGUGUUGGAAAGAUUUAUCGGUUUUGGAUGGACUCGCGGCCUAUCAGCUUGUUGGUGAGGUAAUGGCUCACCAAGGCGACGACGGGUAGCCGGCCUGAGAGGGUGACCGGCCACACUGGGACUGAGACACGGCCCAGACUCCUACGGGAGGCAGCAGUGGGGAAUAUUGCACAACGGGCGAAAGCCUGAUGCAGCGACGCCGCGUGAGGGAUGACGGCCUUCGGGUUGUAAACCUCUUUCAGUAGGGAAGAAGCGAAAGUGACGGUACCUGCAGAAGAAGCACCGGCUAACUACGUG